RNAcentral lists this ribosomal RNA (162 nucleotides) under uncultured bacterium. Its description in RNAcentral is "partial 16S ribosomal RNA". It matches the Rfam family "Bacterial small subunit ribosomal RNA", at positions 358 to 511 of the family's 1533-position model. The record is from RNAcentral.
GGAAUCUUCCACAAUGGGCGAAAGCCUGAUGGAGCAACGCCGCGUGAGUGAAGAAGGUUUUCGGAUCGUAAAACUCUGUUGGUAGAGAAGAACGUUGGUGAGAGUGGAAAGCUCAUCAAGUGACGGUAACUACCCAGAAAGGGACGGCUAACUACGUGCCAG